CAGACUCCUAUGGGAGGCAGCAGUGGGGAAUAUUGGACAAUGGGCGCAAGCCUGAUCCAGCCAUGCCGCGUGCGGGAAGAAGGCCUUCGGGUUGUAAACCGCUUUUGUCAGGGAAGAAAAGGUUCUGGCUAAUACCUGGGACUCAUGACGGUACCUGAAGAAUAAGCACCGGCUAACUACGUGCCAGCAGCCGCGGUGAUACGUAGGGUGCGAGCGUUGUCCGGAUUUAUUGGGCGUAAAGGGCUCGUAGGUGGUUGAUCGCGUCGGAAGUGUAAUCUUGGGGCUUAACCCUGAGCGUGCUUUCGAUACGGGUUGACUUGAGGAAGGUAGGGGAGAAUGGAAUUCCUGGUGGAGCGGUGGAAUGCG
This 366-nucleotide ribosomal RNA is filed under the name Goniomonas pacifica. RNAcentral describes it as "partial Bacterial small subunit ribosomal RNA". It matches the Rfam family "Bacterial small subunit ribosomal RNA", at positions 332 to 690 of the family's 1533-position model. Lineage: Eukaryota; Cryptophyceae; Goniomonadida; Goniomonadaceae. The record is from RNAcentral.